Molecule: transfer RNA, 76 nt
Filed under: Candidatus Marinamargulisbacteria bacterium
Lineage: Bacteria; Bacillati; Candidatus Margulisiibacteriota; Candidatus Marinamargulisbacteria
Description: tRNA-Phe
Rfam family: tRNA
About the family: Transfer RNA (tRNA) molecules are approximately 80 nucleotides in length. Their secondary structure includes four short double-helical elements and three loops (D, anti-codon, and T loops).
Source: RNAcentral
GCCGGGAUAGCUCAGUCGGUAGAGCAGAGGACUGAAAAUCCUUGUGUCGGUGGUUCGAUCCCGCCUCUCGGCACCA